CUUUACACAUGCAAGUCGAACGGUAACGAGGGAGCUUGCUCCGCUGACGAGUGGCGAACGGGUGAGUAAUGCAUCGGAACGUACCCAGUCGUGGGGGAUAACGUAGCGAAAGUUACGCUAAUACCGCAUACGUCCUGAGGGAGAAAGCGGGGGACCGUAAGGCCUCGCGCGAUUGGAGCGGCCGAUGUCGGAUUAGCUAGUUGGUAGGGUAAAGGCCUACCAAGGCGACGAUCCGUAGCGGGUCUGAGAGGAUGAUCCGCCACACUGGGACUGAGACACGGCCCAGACUCCUACGGGAGGCAGCAGUGGGGAAUCUUGCGCAAUGGGCGAAAGCCUGACGCAGCGACGCCGCGUGAGUGAUGAAGGCCUUCGGGUUGUAAAGCUCUGUGGAGGGGGACGAAUAAGGGUUGGCUAACAUCCAGCUCGAUGACGGUACCCCUUUAGCAAGCACCGGCUAACUCUGUGCCAGCAGCCGCGGUAAGACAGAGGGUGCAAACGUUGUUCGGAAUUACUGGGCGUAAAGCGCGU
This 528-nucleotide ribosomal RNA is filed under the name uncultured bacterium. RNAcentral's name for it is "bacterial SSU rRNA". It matches the Rfam family "Bacterial small subunit ribosomal RNA", at positions 47 to 570 of the family's 1533-position model. The record is from RNAcentral.